RNAcentral lists this ribosomal RNA (496 nucleotides) under uncultured bacterium. RNAcentral describes it as "partial 16S ribosomal RNA". It matches the Rfam family "Bacterial small subunit ribosomal RNA", at positions 28 to 506 of the family's 1533-position model. The record is from RNAcentral.
GAUGAACGCUGGCGGCGUGCCUAAUACAUGCAAGUCGAGCGAACGGACGAGAAGCUUGCUUCUCUGAUGUUAGCGGCGGACGGGUGAGUAACACGUGGAUAACCUACCUAUAAGACUGGGAUAACUUCGGGAAACCGGAGCUAAUACCGGAUAAUAUUUUGAACCGCAUGGUUCAAAAGUGAAAGACGGUCUUGCUGUCACUUAUAGAUGGAUCCGCGCUGCAUUAGCUAGUUGGUAAGGUAACGGCUUACCAAGGCAACGAUGCAUAGCCGACCUGAGAGGGUGAUCGGCCACACUGGAACUGAGACACGGUCCAGACUCCUACGGGAGGCAGCAGUAGGGAAUCUUCCGCAAUGGGCGAAAGCCUGACGGAGCAACGCCGCGUGAGUGAUGAAGGUCUUCGGAUCGUAAAACCCUGUUAUUAGGGAAGAACAUAUGUGUAAGUAACUGUGCACAUCUGGACGGUACCUAAUCAGAAAGCCACGGCUAACUACGU